This 70-nucleotide transfer RNA is filed under the name Thorius n. sp. RLM-2004. Its description in RNAcentral is "tRNA-Pro". It matches the Rfam family "tRNA". From Rfam's summary of the family: Transfer RNA (tRNA) molecules are approximately 80 nucleotides in length. The record is from RNAcentral. Lineage: Eukaryota; Metazoa; Chordata; Amphibia; Caudata; Plethodontidae.
CAGGCGGUAUUUUAGUUUAGAAUUUUGGCCUUGGGUGCCGAUAGUGGGAGUGAGAGUCUCUCUUGCCUGA